GCUCUUCUGGGUUUCAGGUAUCAGUACCCUACCAUGGAUGAGCUAGCUGAGAUGCUGCCUCCCGUUCUUACACACUUAAGUGUGAAGAGCAUCAUUGGUAUCGGAGUUGGAGCAGGAGCCUACAUCCUCAGCAGGUUUGCACUCAAUCAUCCAGAGCUGGUAGAAGGUCUUGUGCUCAUUAACAUUGACCCGUGUGCUAAAGGCUGGAUUGACUGGGCAGCUUCCAAA
This is a long non-coding RNA of Grammomys surdaster, 228 nucleotides long. RefSeq lists it as uncharacterized. The record is from RefSeq and is a predicted model, not a curated record. The transcript is spliced from 3 exons. NCBI's taxonomy places the organism in Eukaryota, Metazoa, Chordata, Mammalia, Rodentia, Muridae.